This 63-nucleotide transfer RNA is filed under the name Dipodomys ordii (Ord's kangaroo rat). It matches the Rfam family "tRNA". From Rfam's summary of the family: Transfer RNA (tRNA) molecules are approximately 80 nucleotides in length. Their secondary structure includes four short double-helical elements and three loops (D, anti-codon, and T loops). Lineage: Eukaryota; Metazoa; Chordata; Mammalia; Rodentia; Heteromyidae. The record is from Rfam by way of RNAcentral.
GGGAAUGUGGCUCAUUAGUAGAGUGCUUGCCUUGCAUGCAUGAAGCCCUGGGUUUCAUUCCUU